This 439-nucleotide ribosomal RNA is filed under the name uncultured bacterium. RNAcentral's name for it is "partial 16S ribosomal RNA". It matches the Rfam family "Bacterial small subunit ribosomal RNA", at positions 339 to 795 of the family's 1533-position model. The record is from RNAcentral.
CUACGGGGGGCAGCAGUGGGGAAUAUUGCACAGUGGGGGAAACCCUGAUGCAGCAACGCCGCGUGGAGGAUGACACAUUUCGGUGCGUAAACUCCUUUUAUAGGUCAAGAUAAUGACGGUAGCCUAUGAAUAAGCGCCGGCUAACUCCGUGCCAGCAGCCGCGGUAAUACGGAGGGCGCAAGCGUUACUCGGAAUCACUGGGCGUAAAGAGCAUGUAGGCGGGUUAAUAAGUCAGAAGUGAAAUCCAAUAGCUCAACUAUUGAACUGCUUUUGAAACUGUUAACCUAGAGUGUGGGAGAGGUAGAUGGAAUUUCUGGUGUAGGGGUAAUAUCCGUAGAGAUCAGAAGGAAUACCGAUUGCGAAGGCGAUCUACUGGAACAUUACUGACGCUGAGAUGCGAAAGCGUGGGGAGCAAACAGGAUUAGAUACCCGUGUAGUC